RNAcentral lists this ribosomal RNA (558 nucleotides) under Borrelia miyamotoi. RNAcentral's name for it is "bacterial SSU rRNA". It matches the Rfam family "Bacterial small subunit ribosomal RNA", at positions 431 to 1007 of the family's 1533-position model. The record is from RNAcentral. Lineage: Bacteria; Pseudomonadati; Spirochaetota; Spirochaetia; Spirochaetales; Borreliaceae.
CUUUGUAGGAAAUGACAAAGCGAUGACGUUAAUUUAUGAAUAAGCCCCGGCUAAUUACGUGCCAGCAGCCGCGGUAAUACGUAAGGGGCGAGCGUUGUUCGGGAUCAUUGGGCGUAAAGGGUGAGUAGGCGGAUAUGCAAGUCUAUGUGUAAAAUACCACAGCUCAACUGUGGAACUAUGCUGGAAACUGCAUGACUAGAGUCUGAUAGGGGAAGUUAGAAUUCUUGGUGUAAGGGUGGAAUCUGUUGAUAUCAGGAAGAAUACCAGAGGCGAAGGCGAACUUCUAGGUCAAGACUGACGCUGAGUCACGAAAGCGUAGGGAGCAAACAGGAUUAGAUACCCUGGUAGUCUACGCUGUAAACGAUGCACACUUGGUGUUAAUCGAAAGGUUAGUACCGAAGCUAACGUGUUAAGUGUGCCGCCUGGGGAGUAUGUUCGCAAGAAUGAAACUCAAAGGAAUUGACGGGGGCCCGCACAAGCGGUGGAGCAUGUGGUUUAAUUCGAUGAUACGCGAGGAACCUUACCAGGGCUUGACAUAUACAGGAUAUAGUUAGAGAU